Molecule: long non-coding RNA, 789 nt
Filed under: Homo sapiens (human)
Lineage: Eukaryota; Metazoa; Chordata; Mammalia; Primates; Hominidae
Description: non-protein coding lnc-SNRPN-8:117
Rfam family: Small nucleolar RNA SNORD116 (bases 362-457)
Source: RNAcentral
GGGCAGUUAUCAUGGGACACCCGCCAUAUGCUGGCAAGGAAGAUGGUCAGUUCUUCUGAGCCACAAAGGCCCCCAACAUCCUGGAGUUGGUGUUGCCUAGCAUCCACGGUGCGCCCCCUGCUGGUGGAUGGCUCAGGAUGGGGCAGUUGCCGUGGGAGGCCCGCUGCCUGCUGGAAGGAAGAUGGUCAGUUCUUCUGAACCACAAAGGCCCUGCAGAGUCCUGGAGUCUGUGUGGCCUGGCUUCCAGGGUUCACCUCAUGCUGGUGGAUUGCUCAGGAUGGGUGCCGAAGGUCUUUAAGGUCGUCAGCUCACCUACUGCCCAGCCUGUGGUGUCAAAUGUCCUGCCUCUUCAAAUGUGUUUGGAUCGAUGAUGAGUCCCCCCAAAAAAACAUUCCUUGGAAAAGCUGAACAAAAUGAGUGAAAACUCAUACCGUCGUUCUCAGCGGAACUGAGGUCCAGCGCGUUGCCUCCAGCAGGGACUGUUGGAGUGAGGGAGAGCUUCCACUAGUCCCUAUAGGUUCCACCACCCAGGGCAUCCGCAGGUGCACCUCACCUAAGAGGGUGGCCAGAGACAGUGUCUUGUCAUGACAUCAGAAGCCCCAUGAGGAAGAGGAGGAGCCUGUGCUCCUGCCAGAGGUGGUGGCUGUUAGGGACAGUUGCCGUGGGAGGUCCGCUGCCUGCUGUCAAGGAAGAUGGUCGAUGCUUCUGAGAAACAGGCCCUGCGGGUUCCUGGAUUUGGUGUGGCCUGGCAUCCACGGUGCACCCCGUGCUGGCGGGUGGCCCAGGACG